Molecule: transfer RNA, 74 nt
Filed under: Hazenia capsulata
Lineage: Eukaryota; Viridiplantae; Chlorophyta; Ulvophyceae; Ulotrichales; Hazeniaceae
Description: tRNA-Met
Rfam family: tRNA
About the family: Transfer RNA (tRNA) molecules are approximately 80 nucleotides in length. Their secondary structure includes four short double-helical elements and three loops (D, anti-codon, and T loops). Further hydrogen bonds mediate the characteristic L-shaped molecular structure. tRNAs have two regions of fundamental functional importance: the anti-codon, which is responsible for specific mRNA codon recognition, and the 3' end, to which the tRNAs corresponding amino acid is attached (by aminoacyl-tRNA synthetases). tRNAs cope with the degeneracy of the genetic code in two manners: having more than one tRNA (with a specific anti-codon) for a particular amino acid; and 'wobble' base-pairing, i.e. permitting non-standard base-pairing at the 3rd anti-codon position.
Source: RNAcentral
UGCGGAGUAGAGCAGUCUGGUAGCUCGCGAGGCUCAUAACCUUGAGGUCGUAGGUUCGAAUCCUAUUUCCGCUA